UCAAACAAUGUUCACGGCAUCACAGAAUCUAACCAUUUAAAUCCAAAAUGGUUUCCAAUUAAAGACUUAAGGUCAUUAACUUCCCUGCAAGUGAUCUUCAAUCCUGUCCGGAAACAAGAUAAAAAGUGGAAGGUACUUGAACUUUGAUUGGAGUGGAUGUGAAGGACAUGGUCUGGCGAAUUAUGAGGCAGGCAAUCAAAAAUGACUUGGCUAAAGCGGAAAACACCAAACCAAAAUUUGGAGCAUAAAAACAUUGUGAUUGCACACAAACCAGAAGUAAAUGAUCUGCUGGUUGUCUUCCUGUGACUAAACACAUAACAGACCCUCAGCCAUCGUGUCACAGCGUUUAAUGCGUCUCUGGAGGUUGACAGAUGAACUGUGAGCUUUUUCUCACAGCAGGCCGAGCUGCUGAGUGAGAAACACCCUCACGCUUCCUGCAUGAACCAUCUCAACAAUUCACAUCAUUUACCCUGGGAAAAACGCCUCACUGCCAGCCACGACUUUCCAUGCAGUGCCGACAAAAAAUGAGA
Long non-coding RNA from Sinocyclocheilus grahami, 530 nucleotides. RefSeq lists it as uncharacterized. NCBI's taxonomy places the organism in Eukaryota, Metazoa, Chordata, Actinopteri, Cypriniformes, Cyprinidae. The record is from RefSeq and is a predicted model, not a curated record. The transcript is spliced from 4 exons.